RNAcentral lists this ribosomal RNA (908 nucleotides) under uncultured bacterium. RNAcentral's name for it is "bacterial SSU rRNA". It matches the Rfam family "Bacterial small subunit ribosomal RNA", at positions 10 to 916 of the family's 1533-position model. The record is from RNAcentral.
AGUUUGAUCCUGGCUCAGGAUGAACGCUAGCGGCAGGCUUAAUACAUGCAAGUCGUGGGGCAGCGGGGGUAGCAAUACCUGCCGGCGACCGGCAAACGGGUGAGGAACAUGUACGCAACCUUCCUUUAACUGGAGAAUAGCCCCUCGAAAGAGGGAUUAAUACUCCGUAAUAUAUUGAUAAGGCAUCUUAUUAAUAUAAUAGCUCCGGCGGUUAAAGAUGGGCGUGCACCUGAUUAGAUAGUUGGCGGGGUAAUGGCCCACCAAGUCUGCGAUCAGUAAUUGGUGUGAGAGCACGACCAGUCACACGGGCACUGAGACACGGGCCCGACUCCUACGGGAGGCAGCAGUAAGGAAUAUUGGUCAAUGGACGCAAGUCUGAACCAGCCAUGCCGCGUGGAGGAUUAAGGCCCUCUGGGUUGUAAACUCCUUUUAUCUGGGAAGAAAUGUCUGCAUUCUUGCGGACUUGACGGUACCAGAGGAAUAAGCACCGGCUAACUCCGUGCCAGCAGCCGCGGUAAUACGGAGGGUGCAAGCGUUAUCCGGAUUCACUGGGUUUAAAGGGUGCGUAGGCGGAUAGGUAAGUCAGUGGUGAAAUCUCCGAGCUUAACUCGGAAACUGCCGUUGAUACUAUUUGUCUUGAAUAUUGUGGAGGUAAGCGGAAUAUGUCAUGUAGCGGUGAAAUGCUUAGAUAUGACAUAGAACACCAAUUGCGAAGGCAGCUUACUACACAAUUAUUGACGCUGAGGCACGAAAGCGUGGGGAUCAAACAGGAUUAGAUACCCUGGUAGUCCACGCCCUAAACGAUGAUUACUCGACAUACGCGAUAUACUGUGUGUGUCUGAGCGAAAGCAUUAAGUAAUCCACCUGGGAAGUACGACCGCAAGGUUGAAACUCAAAGGAAUUGACGG